This 1152-nucleotide long non-coding RNA is filed under the name Pogona vitticeps (central bearded dragon). Its description in RNAcentral is "lncRNA (ENSPVIG00000009376.1)". Lineage: Eukaryota; Metazoa; Chordata; Lepidosauria; Squamata; Agamidae. The record is from RNAcentral.
AUGAAGGGAUUCCUUCAUGGCCAAUCCAAGGGGAAGAAGGCUGUGAAGCUACAUAGGCUAGGCAGUGGCAGCAUGUCCAUCACCACCACGUGUACGUCUACUACCACCACCACGACCACCACUGUUCCUCCUCUGUUGGCCUUGGAGGCAGGCACGGAAGCACAGCUUCCAGAGAUGUCUAAAGAACUGCUGCUCCUUUUCCUAGAGGAGUCUGAGGAGUUACCGGUUCUUUCUGAAGAUCCCCAGUCUCAUUUGGAACCAGUAAUGGCAGGGCAGGCUUCACAGUUCUCCCCACCCCUGUCCCAGAGUCAUCUGUUCCCUCCUCUCAGGCCAGCAGCACAGUCACUCUCUCUCUUCCCAGGGAGUUCUUCCCAGGCCAGCAGUCAGGGGCAGGCAAUGGGCCCUCGUUUGGGCAAACAUGGCAGAGGGGUCAUUUGGGAUCAUUUCAUGGCACUCAGUGAUGACCCAUGGCUGGCACGCUGCAAUGCCUGCCUUGUGGUGGUCUGGAGAGGGCCAGAGCCCAGGCAUCUGUCCUCCACUGCCCUCUGCCAACAUAUGGAGAGGCACCACCCAAGGCCCCUGUCCAGGGAAGGUACUUCGUCCGUGCCGUCUUGGAGAGGGAAAAGAGCAGAUGCAGGGGAGGCAGGAGGAGGCGCCUCCUUUCAAAAGGGCAGCUACAGGGGUUUCUGGGGCCGGGAGCAUGAGGCAGGCCAUGCUCCACGAAGUGGCACCCAUUGGGUCUGCCAUGACCCUCAACCGGCAGUCAAAGGGCAAGGCCCAGCAGGCGGCCACUUGUCUCAUCGCCAAGACAAUCGCCCUGCUCACUGUCCAUCAUGGAAUCCCAAGCCUUCCGACGGUUGCUGCAUUUUUUUUUGCCCCUGGUACAACCUUCCCUCACAGAGAACUCUUAGUUCUAGAGUGCUGCCCUCACUCUAUGACUCUGUGAGGGAAGUGGUCUGUGAUCAUUUUUCAUGGCUACAGGGGCGCAAGGUGCACUUCACAGUGGAUCUGUGGAGCGGAGGUCAACACAGCUACCUCUCACUCACAGCCCACUGGUGGCAGCCAGUUCCGGCUGUUUUUUGGUUGUUUAUAGAGGUGCUGGUUGUAAGUCGAAGCAUUUGUUCCCAUAGGAACAAAUGCAAAAGCAGUUAA